AACCCUUGUCCUUAGUUACCAGCACGUUAUGGUGGGCACUCUAAGGAGACUGCCGGUGACAAACCGGAGGAAGGUGGGGAUGACGUCAAGUCAUCAUGGCCCUUACGGCCUGGGCUACACACGUGCUACAAUGGUCGGUACAAAGGGUUGCCAAGCCGCGAGGUGGAGCUAAUCCCAUAAAACCGAUCGUAGUCCGGAUCGCAGUCUGCAACUCGACUGCGUGAAGUCGGAAUCGCUAGUAAUCGUGAAUCAGAAUGUCACGGCGAAUACGUUCCCGGGCCUU
This 283-nucleotide ribosomal RNA is filed under the name uncultured Pseudomonas sp. Its description in RNAcentral is "partial 16S ribosomal RNA". It matches the Rfam family "Bacterial small subunit ribosomal RNA", at positions 1100 to 1382 of the family's 1533-position model. Lineage: Bacteria; Pseudomonadati; Pseudomonadota; Gammaproteobacteria; Pseudomonadales; Pseudomonadaceae. The record is from RNAcentral.